GACGAACGCUGGCGGCGUGCUUAACACAUGCAAGUCGAACGGAAAGGCCCUGCUUUUGUGGGGUGCUCGAGUGGCGAACGGGUGAGUAACACGUGAGUAACCUGCCCUUCACUUUGGGAUAACUUCAGGAAACUGGGUCUAAUACCGGAUAGGAGCUCCUGCUGCAUGGUGGGGGUUGGAAAGUUUCGGCGGUUGGGGAUGGACUGGCGGCUUAUCAGAUUGUUGGUGGGGUAGUGGCAUACCAAGGCUUGGCCGGGUAGCCGGCCUGAGAGGGUGACCGGCCAAACUAGGAUGGCGAUGCGACCCAGACCCGUAUGGGAGGCAACGGUGGGGAAUAUAGCACAAUGGGAGGAAGCAAGAUGCAGCCAAGCCACGUGCGGGAUGACGGCCUUCGGGUAGUAAACCGCAGUCGCCUGUGCCGAAGCGUGAAUGACGGUAAUGGGUGAAGAAGCACCGGCUAACUACGUG
This 468-nucleotide ribosomal RNA is filed under the name uncultured bacterium. Its description in RNAcentral is "partial 16S ribosomal RNA". It matches the Rfam family "Bacterial small subunit ribosomal RNA", at positions 28 to 507 of the family's 1533-position model. The record is from RNAcentral.